GAUCAAAUUCAGGUUCAAAUUGAUAGGGAAUGGUAUCAGAUCAUGACAGUGUGGUAGAGUAGAGCAAUCUAGGCAUGGUUCAGUUUUAA
RNAcentral lists this small RNA (89 nucleotides) under Arabidopsis thaliana (thale cress). RNAcentral's name for it is "ATSL090850". The record is from RNAcentral. Lineage: Eukaryota; Viridiplantae; Streptophyta; Magnoliopsida; Brassicales; Brassicaceae.